Molecule: ribosomal RNA, 776 nt
Filed under: uncultured Neocallimastigales
Lineage: Eukaryota; Fungi; Neocallimastigomycota; Neocallimastigomycetes; Neocallimastigales
Description: partial large subunit ribosomal RNA
Rfam family: Eukaryotic large subunit ribosomal RNA
Source: RNAcentral
CGCAUCUGUGCAUGCAGCAUAUCAAUAAGCGGAGGAAAAGAAACUAACAAGGAUUCCCCUAGUAACGGCGAGUGAAGCGGGAAGAGCUCAAAUUUGAAAUCUUAAAGGGUUUCCCUUUACGAAUUGUAGUUUAAAGAAGUGUUUUCUGUUGAGGUUUUGGUAAAAGUUCUUUGGAAUAGGACAUCAUAGAGGGUGAGAAUCCCGUAUUUGACCUUUACUUUCAACUUUGUGAUACACUUUCAAAGAGUCGGAUUGUUUGGGAAUGCAGUCCAAAAUGGGUGGUAAAUUUCACCUAAAGCUAAAUAUUGGCGAAGAGACCGAUAGCGAACAAGUACCGUGAGGGAAAGAUGAAAAGAACUUUGAAAAGAGAGUUAAACAGUACGUGAAAUUGUCAAAAGGGAAGCGUUUGACACCAGUGUUGUUUUUCUGAAAAUCAAUUAAAGAGACUGUUUAUGCUAAGUUGUUUAGACUUUAUCAGCUAACUGUUUAGUUUUGAGCUUUUCUUUAAUGCACUUUUCAGUUAACAAGUCAACAUCAAUUUCUUUUGCUGUAAAAAAGCUUGAGGAAGGUGGCUUGAGAUUCGUCUUAAGUGUUUAUAGCCUCUUGCCUAUGCAGUCGGAGAGAUUGAGGUCUGCAGCGUAGAUCCUUCGGGGCUAAAUGCAUUUGUGCUAAGUUAUAACAUUUUAUAGACAACUUGUUGACUAUGAUUUGUCUUGUAGCUUACUCGCUUAUGUUAUUUUACCUACGCUUAGGAUGUUGACAGCAGUAUAGACUGU